ACAUGCAGUCGAGCGAACGGACGAGAAGCUUGCUUCUCUGAUGUUAGCGGCGGACGGGUGAGUAACACGUGGAUAACCUACCUAUAAGACUGGGAUAACUUCGGGAAACCGGAGCUAAUACCGGAUAAUAUUUUGAACCGCAUGGUUCAAAAGUGAAAGACGGUCUUGCUGUCACUUAUAGAUGGAUCCGCGCUGCAUUAGCUAGUUGGUAAGGUAACGGCUUACCAAGGCAACGAUGCAUAGCCGACCUGAGAGGGUGAUCGGCCACACUGGAACUGAGACACGGUCCAGACUCCUACGGGAGGCAGCAGUAGGGAAUCUUCCGCAAUGGGCGAAAGCCUGACGGAGCAACGCCGCGUGAGUGAUGAAGGUCUUCGGAUCGUAAAACUCUGUUAUUAGGGAAGAACAUAUGUGUAAGUAACUGUGCACAUCUUGACGGUACCUAAUCAGAAAGCCACGGCUAACUACGUGCCAGCAGCCGCGGUAAUACGUAGGUGGCAAGCGUUAUCCGGAAUUAUUGGGCGUAAAGCGCGCGUAGGCGGUUUUUUAAGUCUGAUGUGAAAGCCCACGGCUCAACCGUGGAGGGUCAUUGGAAACUGGAAAACUUGAGUGCAGAAGAGGAAAGUGGAAUUCCAUGUGUAGCGGUGAAAUGCGCAGAGAUAUGGAGGAACACCAGUGGCGAAGGCGACUUUCUGGUCUGUAACUGACGCUGAUGUGCGAAAGCGUGGGGAUCAAACAGGAUUAGAUACCCUGGUAGUCCACGCCGUAAACGAUGAGUGCUAAGUGUUAGGGGGUUUCCGCCCCUUAGUGCUGCAGCUAACGCAUUAAGCACUCCGCCUGGGGAGUACGACCGCAAGGUUGAAACUCAAAGGAAUUGACGGGGACCCGCACAAGCGGUGGAGCAUGUGGUUUAAUUCGAAGCAACGCGAAGAACCUUACCAAAUCUUGACAUCCUUUGACAACUCUAGAGAUAGAGCCUUCCCCUUCGGGGGACAAAGUGACAGGUGGUGCAUGGUUGUCGUCAGCUCGUGUCGUGAGAUGUUGGGUUAAGUCCCGCAACGAGCGCAACCCUUAAGCUUAGUUGCCAUCAUUAAGUUGGGCACUCUAAGUUGACUGCCGGUGACAAACCGGAGGAAGGUGGGGAUGACGUCAAAUCAUCAUGCCCCUUAUGAUUUGGGCUACACACGUGCUACAAUGGACAAUACAAAGGGCAGCGAAACCGCGAGGUCAAGCAAAUCCCAUAAAGUUGUUCUCAGUUCGGAUUGUAGUCUGCAACUCGACUACAUGAAGCUGGAAUCGCUAGUAAUCGUAGAUCAGCAUGCUACGGUGAAUACGUUCCCGGGUCUUGUACACACCGCCCGUCACACCACGAGAGUUUGUAACACCCGAAGCCGGUGGAGUAACCUUUUAGGAGCUAGCC
This 1420-nucleotide ribosomal RNA is filed under the name Staphylococcus aureus. Its description in RNAcentral is "bacterial SSU rRNA". It matches the Rfam family "Bacterial small subunit ribosomal RNA". The record is from RNAcentral. Lineage: Bacteria; Bacillati; Bacillota; Bacilli; Caryophanales; Staphylococcaceae.